Molecule: long non-coding RNA, 886 nt
Organism: Anneissia japonica
Lineage: Eukaryota; Metazoa; Echinodermata; Crinoidea; Comatulida; Comatulidae
Exons: 2
Source: RefSeq, a predicted model, not a curated record
UUUUUAAAGUUUCCAACUUUAUUAUUUAUUGCCUUGCCCACCAGGAUCCCCGUGUUUGAAGAUAUGUCUUGAUAGGGAUCGAAAAAAAAGUUUAAUGUUAUAUUUACUGUAAUAACGAUUUGGGAUCUGUGCAUACGGUUCGUCACAACUCAUAUUUCUAUGUUACAGUACGGUAUGGGUUAUUAAUAACUACUGCAUUGCAUUAACACCAUUCGAAACAAAAAUAUUAGUCUUAUCCUGGGCGCAAUAUUGCCCUGGCAUGUUGGUAAACCUAUAAAAGUUAUCUUGCAACAUACAGUAAUAUAUUAAUUAAAACGAGUAAGCAUGCCCUAUUAUUUUCAUUAGAAAUUACGUUAAUGUAACACAUAUCAUAUCGUUAUUUAUUACUGAAUUAGAAUUUAAAAGCGUUCUCAGACAAUGUAAAGGUCUCCUAAUUUAAGACCAUUUCUGGGACCGGGGUUUUCAUGUUCCUUAGUAGGUUUGCUUUCAAAUUGGAGUAAAAAGAAAAUAAAAGAAACAUUUGAUAAUUUGAGACCACAGAUAAUUGGUCUUUAAUUGGAAGGAAACCUGUAUAAUAUAUUGAUUAUGAUUGUUUGGUACCGGUACCCUCAGCGCAAUAAAAAAAAAUGUAAUAAUAUUUAUAUCAUUUCAAUGCUGUCAUAAACGGGUUUACACGUUUAUUUUGUUGAUGUCAUUUCUCAGCUGUCUUAAGACUGCUAGUACUGUACAAUUAAUAUUUUACUCUUGAGACAGACACAGAACUUUGUUUGACUUCUUCACCCGGAAAAUCCUUCAAAGUUUUAGAGAUCUCUAUUAUUGAUGAAAUAUACAGAGGCUUGCUAUAGUAUUUUAGGAGUUUAAAACAAUAAAUGCGUGUAAAAUAUUA